GACGAACGCUGGCGGCGUGCCUAAUACAUGCGAGUAGAACGCUGAAGCGAGGAGCUUGCUCUUCUUUCGUGAGUUGCGAACGGGUGAGUAACGCGUAGGUAACCUGCCUGGUAGCGGGGGAUAACUAUUGGAAACGAUAGCUAAUACCGCAUAACAUGGUUUAUCGCAUGAUAAUCCAUUGAAAGUUGCAAAUGCAUCACUACCAUAUGGACUUGCGUCGUAUUAGCUAGUUGGUGGGGUAACGGCUCACCAAGGCGACGUUACAUAGCCGACCUGAGAGGGGGAUAGGCCACACUGGGAAGGAGACAAGGCCCAGAAUGCUACGGGAGGGAGCAGUAGGGAAACUGCGGGAAUGGGCGGAAGUCUGAACGAGCAAAGCCGCGGGAGGGAAGAAGGGUUUCGGAUCGGAAAGCACUGUUGUAAGAGAAGAAAGAGUGUGAGAGUGGAAAGUUCACAGUGUGACGGUAUCUUACCAGAAAGGGACGGCUAACUACGUG
This 497-nucleotide ribosomal RNA is filed under the name uncultured bacterium. RNAcentral describes it as "partial 16S ribosomal RNA". It matches the Rfam family "Bacterial small subunit ribosomal RNA", at positions 28 to 507 of the family's 1533-position model. The record is from RNAcentral.